UGAUAGCUUUUUGUGGGGUCAUGAGAAUACGUACAAUAGUGUUUGAACAUUGAGUACCAAUUUGGUUAUCGGUUGAAAUUAUUUUGAACCCAAAUUAUCGGUAGAUAGAAUUAUCUCUGUACAAAAUAGGUUUGGACUUGUACAUAUCUUUUACAACGUAAAUUCCAUUGUAUACGAUUUCCACUUCCCAUAUCAUCAAUUCCCUAAUCUUAUGUAAAGUAAUGAUGAUUCUUGUAUGAAUCCAUCAAUCAAUCAACCCCUUUUCACAAAAGGAUCUUUAUUCUUCAAUGUUCCAUCAAAGCAAAAAAAAUGUUGAAUUGUGAUGGAUUCAACAUAACACAACACAGAUCUCUUGGAAUUGGAAUUGCUCAAUUUUCAGGUACUAAAGGUUUAGAAAGGGAUUCAAGACAUUUCACAGGCUCUGAAGAGAAGCAAAUUGAGAAAAAUGCACCAAACUACUUUUCAUUUCAGUUUUAACAUUUUAAAUUUGCAUUAAGAUAAAACAAUUUAUGUGCCAAAUAAAUGAGUCUCUAUAUCCUUAAUUGUAGCUGAACACAGAAUGCACACGUGGGCAUUUUCAGAGACAAAAGUCUGGAGAAAUGAAAAUUAAAAUGACAGAAAGUGAAUCUGUAAGAGGACUUUCUUUGAACAUUUUAUGCUGUUUAGUUGCAUAUACAUUUCACACACAGUCAGACUUCUACAUGAGACUUCAAGAGUGCAAACAAUCAUCUUCCAGGGUCACGAUUGUCUCCACCAUGCAGCUGAUUUACGUGCUCUAAUCCUCUUUCCAGUAAUUGUCCAUGCGAAUACGGUUGUUCUCCAUCUGUUAUAUGGCAAAAAAAUAAAAAAUAAGUUACACAAUUUACAACCAUGAUAA
Long non-coding RNA from Medicago truncatula (barrel medic), 877 nucleotides. RefSeq lists it as uncharacterized. The record is from RefSeq and is a predicted model, not a curated record. Lineage: Eukaryota; Viridiplantae; Streptophyta; Magnoliopsida; Fabales; Fabaceae. The transcript is spliced from 2 exons.